This 536-nucleotide long non-coding RNA is filed under the name Panax ginseng (ginseng). Its description in RNAcentral is "long non-coding RNA (PGIN_LNC014266)". The record is from RNAcentral. Lineage: Eukaryota; Viridiplantae; Streptophyta; Magnoliopsida; Apiales; Araliaceae.
AUUUUGCAAUAAGAGGUAAUAUAUGCAAUUUUUAACUACGAAUUACUCGUAAUCAAAGAUUCAAAGGACAGACAAGAGAGUUUUAGCCAACUUAAUGAAAGUUGGCUAAUUACACUGAACCCUUUUUGACAAGACUAGGUGUUUGAUCUUUCGGAUAUAGGAUGAGACUAGUAGUGUUGAUAAUUAGACGCGGCAAUUCCUACAGAUCAGUGGAAGACUCCCUCCUUCUCUCUUAUUCUUCCAAUUCCUACAGAUCGGAAACCCUUCCUUCUCUCUUUCUCUUUCAAUUCUUAAAGAACAGAACCCAUGCGAAGUCGUAAGCUGCCAUUCGAACCCAUCUGAAAACCCUUUGAAGUCGUAAGUUGUCGGACAUGGAAUAAGAACAAAGCCCCUUUAAAGCUCAUUAUUUUGCAAAUCGUAAGGUCAGGCUCAUUAUUUUUUUUAAUUAGAGUUGUUUAUUGGAUUGUGGCUUAUAGCCUUGUAUCUGUGUUGUUUUUUUUUUUGCAUUUUGGGUGUCUGCUAUGAAGCAAGUUAAC